UCCAGUUUACGUCGUCCUGGCACCGCGGUCGCAUCGCAGUGCCUGCGCAGGAGGGCGCGGGUGUGCGUGGGGAAGCUUCCAGCACGGAGCUCGCCGAAGCGAGCUAUCGGUGCAGUUGCAUCGGCUAUAGUUGGUUACGUUUCUUAGUUUCGCUGGAAACUGUGUAGUUGUAAGGCAAGAAAUGAACCGGCGAUGCUCCGAAACGGACGUGAUCGAGGCACCUCGCAACAACUGACCAUUCCAGAAGAAGAGCUCCUAGAAAUAAGAUGAACAAGACUGGCGGAUAAGAUCCCCAGUAACGGUGAAAUCGACCGGGCGAGAAGUAAAAAAAAAGAAAUCUUCAAUGCAAGGCCGUGGCAACACGGGCUGGAUGCUUGCGCCGCUCUUUGACGACCUGUAGUUGUGCUGAAGAGUUCGUUUUUUUUUUCAGCGAGAUGCCCA
Dermacentor albipictus is the source of this 441-nucleotide long non-coding RNA. RefSeq lists it as uncharacterized. Lineage: Eukaryota; Metazoa; Arthropoda; Arachnida; Ixodida; Ixodidae. The record is from RefSeq and is a predicted model, not a curated record.